Molecule: transfer RNA, 75 nt
Filed under: Staphylococcus pseudintermedius
Lineage: Bacteria; Bacillati; Bacillota; Bacilli; Caryophanales; Staphylococcaceae
Description: tRNA-Lys
Rfam family: tRNA
About the family: Transfer RNA (tRNA) molecules are approximately 80 nucleotides in length. Their secondary structure includes four short double-helical elements and three loops (D, anti-codon, and T loops).
Source: RNAcentral
GAGCCAUUAGCUCAGUUGGUAGAGCAUCUGACUUUUAAUCAGAGGGUCAGAGGUUCGAUCCUCUAUGGCUCACCA